This 786-nucleotide long non-coding RNA is filed under the name Physcomitrium patens. Its description in RNAcentral is "long non-coding RNA (PPAT_LNC010490)". Lineage: Eukaryota; Viridiplantae; Streptophyta; Bryopsida; Funariales; Funariaceae. The record is from RNAcentral.
CUGAAUGUAUCGUCUCUAUUUCCAAUAUCUGAACACACAAGGAAACUAUACUCUCCUCCUUUACCUUAUCGAUCUCUUCCUUACAACAAUUCAGUCAUACCAAUAACUGUUAUUUCCACCAAUAUAUUCAUCCUCAUAAUCUCCAACUGAAAUACUGUACCCUCACAGCUUUCAACACACAAUUACCCUUGUUCCAAUCACUGAAAUUCUUCACACAGAACUGCCAUUCACAUUACGGUGUUUCAUACAAACACAGACUCAUUCUCUCUGCUGAACUACUAUUAGAUUUCAACAUUCAAUUUUUCUUUUCUCAAAUAAUACCAAUCACAUUUCCAUUCCAUAAUUCACUUCACAAUAUUUAGAAACUUUCAAUCUUCUUAUUCAAAGAAAAUAACAAACAAAAGAAAAGAGGUAGCAUCAAGCUUACCCUAGUUCACAACUCUCAUAGUUUGGCAUUUUCUUCCCCUCUUCCAUCCUUAUACUACCCCGAGAUACCAACUCCUAUACUACAGAUGAUAAUUACUUUUCUUGACUAUUCAUCCAUUCUACUUAUUGAACCACCUUUUCAGCAGUUAUCUAUCCCUGUUUAUACUAUAUACUAGGUAUCUACAUUCUGAAAAUAACUACUUAUUCUACAUAGCCCCACUCCUAACUGUGCAGCAUCCUUGCAAACACUCAAUUGAUAUCUAUCUAAAAAUUAUCUAACAAAACUCUACAAAAAUUGCGAUCCCUCUGACCUAUCUAAUUAAUCAAUUAUCACAGUAUCUAUUAUUGGUUCCAUCGAUU